GCCUAGUGAUAUGAUAGCCUAGUGGACAUGGCAUCUGCCCGGUAAGCGGAACACUGUGGGUUCGAUUCCCAUCCCUGGACA
RNAcentral lists this transfer RNA (81 nucleotides) under Cordylochernes scorpioides. Its description in RNAcentral is "tRNA-Thr". The stretch from base 15 to 72 matches the Rfam family "tRNA", at positions 8 to 63 of the family's 71-position model. Rfam says of the family: Transfer RNA (tRNA) molecules are approximately 80 nucleotides in length. The record is from RNAcentral. Lineage: Eukaryota; Metazoa; Arthropoda; Arachnida; Pseudoscorpiones; Chernetidae.